This is a non-coding RNA of Musa acuminata subsp. malaccensis (wild Malaysian banana), 3805 nucleotides long. The record is from RefSeq and is a predicted model, not a curated record. NCBI's taxonomy places the organism in Eukaryota, Viridiplantae, Streptophyta, Magnoliopsida, Zingiberales, Musaceae.
ACUCUCUCUCUCUCUGUUUCUUUCUUUCCCUUGACCUUAAUCCUACCAGUAACCUCUUUCAUCUCCAGAACCUGACGAUGUCCAUCGAGACGCUCGCUCAUCUGCCGCCGUAGUGAGGGUCGUUUCCACUCGGCCUACCUUGCUCUCUUUGAUAGCUGGUUUCUCUAUCGUACUGCCCGAUUCGGUGCUUGCGAUUUGCUCUGAGUUGAUCGAUCUGAGAAUGGAGGCGAAGGAGGCAUCGGCCGCACCAGGGGCAGCAGCCUUGCCCGAGACCAAGGAUGGUCCGGUGAGUGACGAAGGACAUCCGCUAGAUGCUGAGAGUUUGGCCAAGGCGGCUGCCUUCCUGUUCCAGAGCUCCCGACUCCAGGACUGCUUACAUGUGUUGAAUCAACUCCUACAGAAGAAGCAGGACGAUCCGAAGGAACAAAGUGAAUUACUUGCUUGUUCUUCUCGAGGAUAGAUCGAAUCUGGUAAUAAUAGUGAGAAUAAUGUGUCAAGAUCUAAAGUGAAUAUUGCUUCGCUUCAUCAACUUUCUGCAAUAAAUAGUGGCAGAAUUGUUAAUGCAGAAGAGUUUGACACUUCAGUAACACUGUUGAACAUUGUACAUAGUUCUGCAUCUACUUCUUGACCAAAACUUCCUUUUUCCAGGGUCAUUGAAUGCAAAUCAAAUACUGUUCAUAACUUCAUAUAGUGACACUAUGCUUGCUCCAUUUUGGUGAACUACAGGCUGUUGUUCUCUACCAUGUCCAUGAAUAUGCACGUGCAUUAUUUCUCCUAGAAACAUUAUAUCAGAACAUUGAGCCCAUCGAUGAGGUUUCGUCACUUAGUCAUCUUAUGUGUCCAUGUGAUGUUCUUUUUUUUUUCAACCAGUGGUUUGUACCUUGCAGAGAAUUGUUCUUCAUGUGUGCCUCCUGCUACUGGAUGUUUGCAUUAGCCUGCCGAGAUGCUUCAAACGCUGCAGUGGUCCUAUAGUGAUCGUGGCUCUUGUCACAAAUUACCCGAGGAAACGGGGAGCUCAAGUGGAUCAACAACAACAACAAAGGCGUAAUGUGUCAACACUUCGGGGUUGACUGAAUACAUCUUUUAUUGUCAUGGUGCUCCAUAGAAAAUCAUAUUUUUAGUGAGUAUUUAACUUCCCAUUUAUAGUUCCUAGUAAAGUAUUUUUGUCUCCCUCUAUCUUUCCUCGUAACACUCAUAGUAAUUGUUUCUCCUCUUUAAGCACAAUAUCAACAUGUUUCCUUAGCAUAUGUUCAUACCAACUUAGACCAUUCUCUCUCAACCACACUUAAUUGUUCACAAAUAAAAAAAAUAUUUUUUUUUCUAGUAACACUACACAUCCACCUCAACAUUCUCAUUUAAGCGAUAUAGUUUUUUGUGUAUGUCAUUUUUUAAUUGUCCAACUUUUGGAACUAACAAAAUGCUUCUCUUAAUAUAAGAGAUACUUGAUGAUAACAUACGGCUCCUGACGUUCCUCACAAUUUUAAUCACCCAUUUUUUUAUUAUGAAUGUUAUUUUCAUCAAUAAUAAUCAAUCCAAGAUACCUAAAGCUUUUAAGCAGUAUAUCUAACAUUUGUGCUGUUUUUUUGUGGGAUUUGCAUGUGAUGGACCUAGAAGUGUUUUGGGUUAAGCUCAUGAGAAUGCUUGAGUUUUGAAAUAUUUGGUUCUUGAUAACGAUCUUGAAAUCCUGAUAUUGAGUGAAUCCCUAAAUUCUUGUAGUACCACGAGGAACUCGUUUCUUUUUUCUGCUGACACCUGUUGAAAUAUUUGGUACCUGAUAAUGAUCUUGAAAUCCUGAUCUUGAGUGACUCCCUAAAUUCUUGUAGUACCACAAGGAACUCGUUUUUUUUUUCUGCUGAAACCUGUUGAAAUAUUUGGUACCGGAUAAUGAUCUUGAAAUCCUGAUGUUGAGUGAAUCCCUAAAUUCUUGUAGUACCACGAGGAACUCGUUUCUUUAUUCUGCUGAAACCUGUUGAAAUAUUUGGUACCUGAUAACAAUCUUGAAAUCCUGCUGUUGAGUGAAUCCCUAUAUUCUUGUAGUACCACAAGGAAUUUCUUUCUUUUUUUCUACUGAAACCUGUGUCCUCAGAUAAUUGGGAUUGUUUAUUCUAUAUUCUGUCCUUGUGUGCUUGGACAAUGUGAUUGUUGUUGUACUGCAUAGAACUGCAUAGUUGGUUUGAUAGCUUCGUAUUAGUAAUCCCACAGCACUGCUCUAUGUUGGAUCAGGAAACUUUUCAAAAUCUAUUUGGAAUUUCGGCUCCCCUGUCAUAAUAGGUGUUGGGACUUCUAUGGCCUUGUUUUUGUUGUUUUAGUGUGUCAUAAUAGACUUCCACAACAUGUGCUUCUUGGUAUGCUGCUCCACGGCUUCCUUGACACUAUAUCCGUCUUAGGUUAAAAUGCCGAGAGAUAUUGCAUGGACAGGUACUUUGUGGUAUUUUAGUUGGUGCUAACGAUUUGAUCUUGAAACUAAUGGUAGUACUCAUUUUCAUGUUAAAUGAAUAAACAGAUGUCGUUCUUGCUGACUUUUUAAUGUGAAAUGCAUCACAUGCUCUGGAAAGGUGACUGUUUCCUUGUUGUUCUAAUUUGUGAUGGUGGGACUCAUAUGUGCAGAAUUUUAUCUAGUGUUGUAGUCUUUAUGUGUUCUACUUUGCUAUGUUGAACAUCUUAUUCCUUUGUUUCAUGCAUUAGGGCAAGGAGAAAGUGGAAGCAACAUUCAACCUCAGUCUAACCAUGGAUUAAAAUUUUCUGGUAUAAAUAACAUCCCUGCUUCAAAUGUGUGCAGUACAGAUUUUAGUGGCAGCAUAAAUGCUCAAGAAAGUGCUUUGACAAGAACUUUAUCAGAUGAGACACUAGAAUAUGAGACUUUAUGUUCAACAUUGGAUAGUGGUACUUAUAACUUGGAGAGACCUACUACUAAUGCUAACUCAAAAUUAGCAGCUGUAGCUUCUGCCGUUGAUUUAAAGCUAAAUUUGCAUCUUUACAAGGUCCGACUACUGCUGCUUACAAGGAACCUGAAGGCUGCAAUGCCGGAAAUUAAGCUCGCUAUGAACAUAGCACGCUUUGGGGAUUCAUCUGUCACUUUUGUUAAAGUCUCAGUUAGAAUAUGCUCGUGGAAACCGUCGAAAGGCUAUAAAACUAUUGAUGACAUCCAGUAGCAGGUGUGAUCCAGGAAUGCUUUGUAUAUUCAACAACAAUAUGGGGUGCAUAUAUCACCAGCUUGGGAAACAUCAUACUUCAGCGUUGUUUUUCUCUAAAGCAUUAAAAUGCAGCGAGUCUCUUCGGUGUAAGAAAUCCCCUGAAGCUUUCUACUUUUUCUCAAGAUAAAUCACUAUAUAUACUAUACAACUGUGGUUUGCAAUACUUGCUAUGUGGAAGGCCAUUGGUUGCAGCUCGGUGUUUUGAUAAAACCUGGCCAAUCUUUUACAACAUUUGAAUGCUGCUUGUCAGCUAUGGAGAAAGGUCUUCUAAGGAAAAAUGGUUCAUCAUUUGAGGGUGAGGAGGUUAAAGUUCAUAUAGUUGGAUUGGGUAGAUGGAGAAGAUUGUUGACUGAUGAGUAAUGGUGACUGUACAGUCAACUUCAUAUACUGAAUAAAAGUGAAAUGAUACAGUCAACUUCUUCACUCUCUAGGAAGGAAGCAGAUGAUUCCAACAAGGCAACUUCUGCAAGUGCCAAGAACUUGAACCACAAGAAUAUAUUGGUUGGUGAUUCAAAAGCAUCUAAUGCAACAUCGGCCUCCAUACCUGCUAGUAAUGGUGACUUCAAAGAAACUAAGACAGGUAUGAUCUUGAGCACUACGUUGGACAGCUC